Molecule: ribosomal RNA, 468 nt
Filed under: uncultured bacterium
Lineage: Bacteria
Description: partial 16S ribosomal RNA
Rfam family: Bacterial small subunit ribosomal RNA
Source: RNAcentral
GACGAACGCUGGCGGCGUGCUUAACACAUGCAAGUCGAACGGAAAGGCCCUGCUUUUGUGGGGUGCUCGAGUGGCGAACGGGUGAGUAACACGUGAGUAACCUGCCCUUGACUUUGGGAUAACUUCAGGAAACUGGGGCUAAUACCGGAUAGGAGCUCCUGCUGCAUGGUGGGGGUUGGAAAGUUUCGGCGGUUGGGGAUGGACUCGCGGCUUAUCAGCUUGUUGGUGGGGUAGUGGCUUACCAAGGCUUUGACGGGUAGCCGGCCUGAGAGGGUGACCGGCCACAUUGGGACUGAGAUACGGCCCAGACUCCUACGGGAGGCAGCAGUGGGGAUUAUUGCACAAUGGGCGGAAGCCUGAUGCAGCAACGCCGCGUGCGGGAUGACGGCCUUCGGGUUGUAAACCGUUUUCGCCUGUGACGAAGCGCGAGUGACGGUAAUGGGUAAAGAAGCACCGGCUAACUACGUG